GACGAACGCUGGCGGCGUGCUUAACACAUGCAAGUCGAACGGAAAGGCCCUGCUCUUGUGGGGUGCUCGAGUGGCGAACGGGUGAGUAACACGUGAGUAACCUGCCCUUGACUUUGGGAUAACUUCAGGAAACUGGGGAUAAUACCGGAUAGGAGCUCCUGCUGCAUGGUGGGGGUUGGAAAGUUUCGGCGGUUGGGGAUGGACUCGCGGCUUAUCAGCUUGUUGGUGGGGUAGUGGCUUACCAAGGCUUUGACGGGUAGCCGGCCUGAGAGGGUGACCGGCCACAUUGGGACUAAGGUACGGCCCAGUCUCCUACGGGAGGCAGCAGUGGAGAAUAUUGCACAAUGGGCGGAAGCCUGAUGCGGCAACGCCGCGUGCGGGAUGACGGCCUUCGGGUUGUAAACCGCUUUCGCCUGUGACGAAGCGUGAGUGACGGUAAUGGGUAAAAAAGCACCGGCUAACUACGUG
Molecule: ribosomal RNA, 468 nt
Filed under: uncultured bacterium
Lineage: Bacteria
Description: partial 16S ribosomal RNA
Rfam family: Bacterial small subunit ribosomal RNA
Source: RNAcentral